Sycon ciliatum is the source of this 560-nucleotide long non-coding RNA. RefSeq lists it as uncharacterized. The transcript has 3 exons. Lineage: Eukaryota; Metazoa; Porifera; Calcarea; Leucosolenida; Sycettidae. The record is from RefSeq and is a predicted model, not a curated record.
CCGAACCAGUUGUCAGUGGCAACAUAUAGGAAUCGUGUACAUUUCUUCGUUUCUUCUUUGCUGUUUUCAGUGAGUGUUUUGUUUUCUCUUUGUCCUUGAUCUCGACGGUGUUGUCGUGCUCAUUACCUUACUGAGACGUCUCUUGUGACUGUAGCCAGUGUCACGGAGGAUUUUAUUGGCGUGACGAGGUAGAUCGCCGAGAUCGAGCGUGAAAAACGCUCUGCAUUAGUAGCUCCUGUAGAAUGUCUUCUGGGAUGGCGUGUCCAUGGUCAACAAAGCCAAGGUGCAAGACAGCAUAAGAGAUCGUGUAAACGAUGUGAACUCCAAUAGAUAAUCUGGACAAAUAAAUUAUAUUGUAACUGGAGAGUGCAAUCGUGCUUGGGACCCAUCCCAAUGUCAUCACAUGGCUGUGGUGACUAGUGUAUACUUGGGAGAGUUUUUCCUCAACUGAGACGGAGUGUAGGUGGAUGGAUUAUGAGAAAUGCGAAGAUGUGGAGUUCAAGGCUAGAUGCACUUCACAUUCGGCGUGCGAUCUCGGCGUCUGGGACCUGAUAACGUCU